This 484-nucleotide long non-coding RNA is filed under the name Pan troglodytes (chimpanzee). Its description in RNAcentral is "long non-coding RNA NONPTRT011971". The record is from RNAcentral. Lineage: Eukaryota; Metazoa; Chordata; Mammalia; Primates; Hominidae.
UUGGUGCCGAGGACUCACACGUAAAAGGAGCUCAUUCGGAGGCAGGGGCACGCGCUUGUCCCCAGAACUCAAACCCCAGAGUCCCUCCGGCAGAUGAGAGUGGAGUCUGUAAAUCACCCUCCAUGCAAUGGUUCAUCAUAAAGGAUAUGGAGCAAAAUUAGAGGAGGCACGAGAAGGAAAGCCGGUGAUGAACAAGGAAAGUGCCUGGUUGAAGCUAGCUUGCAAUCCCCAAAGUCAGAAGGUUGCCUGGGAAGCCAUGAAACAAAGCCAAAUCAAGGCAAAGCAGACACAUGGAGAUUUUGAGACUGAGAAGAGGAAAACUGAGGACAUUCAUGUGAGAUGGUUUCAAGUUUCCCUUAGAAGGAGAAGUUAUCUUCAGAAGGUCAGGUUGGUGAGGUGGGAGUUCAAAAACAACAAAGUAUGUAGCUACCAUUGUGAGGAAGACCAUGGAAAAUGGAUGAAUCAGAAUGAAAGGCUUUCUGAA